GCUGGUUGUAGUGGUGCACACCUAUAAUCCUAGCACCCAGAGAAGUUGAGGUUGGUGGAUUUCUUGAGCUCUGGAGUUCUGAGCUGUGGUAAGCUAUGCCAAUCAUGUGUCCACAUUAAGUUUGGCAUCAAUAUGUUGAACUCCUGGGAGCAGAGGGCCACUAGGUUGCGUGAGAAGGGGUAAACUGGCCCAGGUCAGUUUGAUGAGAAGAAGGUCAAAGCCCCAGGGUUAAACUGUAGGAGAAUCAGUCCAUGAGUUGUGGCCCCUGAACUUCCAACCUGGGCAAGAUGGGGGAGAUCCAGUCAU
This 306-nucleotide signal recognition particle RNA is filed under the name Vombatus ursinus (common wombat). RNAcentral's name for it is "Metazoan signal recognition particle RNA (ENSVURG00010014211.1)". It matches the Rfam family "Metazoan signal recognition particle RNA". Rfam says of the family: The signal recognition particle (SRP) is a universally conserved ribonucleoprotein. It is involved in the co-translational targeting of proteins to membranes. Lineage: Eukaryota; Metazoa; Chordata; Mammalia; Diprotodontia; Vombatidae. The record is from Rfam by way of RNAcentral.